RNAcentral lists this long non-coding RNA (1059 nucleotides) under Numida meleagris (helmeted guineafowl). RNAcentral's name for it is "lncRNA (ENSNMEG00000002180.1)". Lineage: Eukaryota; Metazoa; Chordata; Aves; Galliformes; Numididae. The record is from RNAcentral.
AGGGCAGGGAUCCAGGUGACAAAGAAAGGCCCCAGGUGACCAGGGCAGGGAUCCAGGUGACAAAGAAAGGCCCCAGGUGACCAGGGAGCGGACCCAUGGGAGCAGGGAUGGGGAUGACGGUGCCUGGAAGGGGACCCAGGCGAUCACCAGGGAGGGGACCCGGGUGACAAGGAGAGAACCAAAGUGACAAGAAGGGCCACCCCACUCACCCUCAGCCUCGGGGUCACUCUCCGCCACAUCCGUGUCCCCGUCGGGGCGAUGCUGUCCCCAAGCAGCCAGGCCCAAAUUUGGGGCCGGAUCCGGAGGUUUUGGGGCCGCAGCCACAGCUGGAUCCCCGUCCCCGUUCUUCGAGGUCUCCCCGCUGCGUUGCUGCGUCCCGCUGCCGGAUUUGGGGCCCGCACGUGGGGCUGAACCACGCUGCUCUGGCGCCGUCCCUCCCAUAGCCCCAUCACUGUGUGAUUCUGGGGGUGAACCCGAUCUUUUUGGGGCUGAUUUCCCACCUUUUGGCUCCGUCUGCCCCACGUGGGUACCGCCGCCCGUCGCGGUGUUCCCAACAUCUGGAUUUCGGGGUCGGAUCCGGCUCCGGAGGCUCCGAAUUUGGGGAGUGGGGGCCACCUCCUCCGCAUCGGUGUCACCGCCGCCCCGAGGGCUCAGGGGAGGGGACACAUCUGGAGCAACAUCUGGAGCAACACCUGGAGCAACAUCUGGAGCAGCAGCACCCUCGGCGUCCAAAUCCCUGACACCCAGCGUCGGCUCGGGGGGGUUGGGGGCUUCCAGACCACCGAGCUCGACUGCAUUGGAAGCUCUGCCACCACCGAGGCCGGCAACAUCUGGAUCUGGGGUCUCCGUCUCCACAGCUGGAUCCCGCGGGGGAAUUUGGGGCGUUUUGUGGGUUUUCGGGUGGGGAACAUCUGGAUUCAGCUCUUCAUCCUCAACAUCUGUAUCGUUUUCCACCUCCACACUCUGAUCUCUGCUCUGAGGUCCUUUAACAUCAGGAUAUGGGGUCUCAAUCACCACAGCUGGAUCUUUUGGGGUAAUUUGGGGCGUUUUGUGGGUUUU